AUUAUUUUUUUCUAACCUAACCGCUACCGCCCGCAACCGCAAACGCUUGCGGAAAGGAGCUUUUGAAAUCCGGCGAUUUCGAGCGGUCCAAAGCGGUAUUUAGCGGUUUCUAUGAUUGGUGCCAAUCGCUAACAACCGCUACCACCCGCAAACGUAGCAUUUGCGGGUGAAAGAGGGAGAACCAAUCAAGCCCUAACUAAUCUUAAUACAAUAAUUUAAACAGCUAAAUCAAAGUCAAAAUUUGUAGGUAAGGA
This 254-nucleotide small RNA is filed under the name Arabidopsis thaliana (thale cress). Its description in RNAcentral is "ATSL186040". The record is from RNAcentral. Lineage: Eukaryota; Viridiplantae; Streptophyta; Magnoliopsida; Brassicales; Brassicaceae.